This 389-nucleotide ribosomal RNA is filed under the name Lysiphlebus confusus. RNAcentral's name for it is "partial 16S ribosomal RNA". The record is from RNAcentral. Lineage: Eukaryota; Metazoa; Arthropoda; Insecta; Hymenoptera; Braconidae.
AAAACAUGUCUUAUUGAAAAUAAUUUUAAGUCUAAUCUGCCCAAUGAAAAUUUUAAUGGCUGCAGUAUCAAUAACUGUACAAAGGUAGCAUAAUAAUUAGUUUUUUAAUUGAAAACUAGAAUGAAAGAUUAAAUGAAAUAUAAACUUUAUUAAUAAAAUUAAAAUUAAACUUAAAUUUUAAGUUAAAAUUCUUAAAUAUUAUUAAAAGACGAGAAGACCCUUUAGAAUUUUAUAUAAAUUAAAAUUAAAAUUAUAAAUAUUAAUAAUAUAAAUUUUAAUUAAUAUUUAAUUGGGGUAAUUUUUUAAUUUUAUAAACUUUAAAAUAAUAAAACAUUAAUUAAUGAACUUAUAAACCUAAAAUUUAGAAUUUUAAAAUAAAUUACCUUAGG